AUGCAACAUCUCCUCGCGUGCUAUUCGUUCUCUAGGCAAAUUUGUCAUGAAAUACUCGGUUGGGUGCGAGCACCAACUACCCUUCCUAAUGGCGACACCCCCUUCCAAGCAUGGUGGUUAGCUUCGUCCGACCAAGCAGUAGCCUCCGCUCGCAAAGGCCUCGCAUCCAUCAUCAUCCUCGCUGCAUGGUGGAUUUGUAAACAUCGUAACAGAUGUGUCUUUGACCAUGAUCGGCCAUCAGUCUCUCAGCUUACCACCACCAUCAAAGACGAGGUGUGCCUUUGGGCCAAGGCCGACGCCGCAGGGAUAAGAAACAUCAUUCCAGAGAGUUAG
This 333-nucleotide ribosomal RNA is filed under the name Triticum aestivum (bread wheat). RNAcentral's name for it is "partial small subunit ribosomal RNA". Lineage: Eukaryota; Viridiplantae; Streptophyta; Magnoliopsida; Poales; Poaceae. The record is from RNAcentral.